RNAcentral lists this ribosomal RNA (519 nucleotides) under uncultured bacterium. RNAcentral's name for it is "bacterial SSU rRNA". It matches the Rfam family "Bacterial small subunit ribosomal RNA", at positions 8 to 518 of the family's 1533-position model. The record is from RNAcentral.
AGGGUUCGAUUCUGGCUCAGGAUGAACGCUAGCGAUAGGCCUAACACAUGCAAGUCGAGGGGCAGCACAUGAGUAGCAAUACGAUGGUGGCGACCGGCGCACGGGUGAGUAACACGUAUGCAACCUACCUUUAACAGGGGAAUAACCCGUUGAAAAACGGACUAAUACUCCAUAACACAGGGGUCCCGCAUGGGAAUAUUUGUUAAAGAUUAAUCGGUUGAAGAUGGGCAUGCGUUCCAUUAGCUUGUUGGUGAGGUAACGGCUCACCAAGGCCACGAUGGAUAGGGGAACUGAGAGGUUUAUCCCCCACACUGGAACUGAGACACGGUCCAGACUCCUACGGGAGGCAGCAGUGAGGAAUAUUGGUCAAUGGAGGCAACUCUGAACCAGCCAAGUCGCGUGAAGGAUGAAGGUCUUAUGGAUUGUAAACUUCUUUUGCAAGGGAAUAAAGUGGGGGACGUGUCCUCCUUUGCAUGUACCUUGCGAAUAAGGAGCGGCUAACUCCGUGCCAGCCGCCGC